CCACAUCACAUUGAAACACCAGUUCCCAUACAAUCACUAAAGUUAAGCAAUGUUGAGGCUGAUCAGUACCUAGAUGGGUGACUGCUUGAGAAUACCAGGUGCUGUAAG
This is a non-coding RNA of Acanthosepion pharaonis, 108 nucleotides long. NCBI's taxonomy places the organism in Eukaryota, Metazoa, Mollusca, Cephalopoda, Sepiida, Sepiidae. The record is from the annotation of a GenBank genome assembly.